GUGGGUAGUUUGACUGGGGCGGUCUCCUCCUAAAGAGUAACGGAGGAGCACGAAGGUUGGCUAAUCCUGGUCGGACAUCAGGAGGUUAGUGCAAUGGCAUAAGCCAGCUUGACUGCGAGCGUGACGGCGCGAGCAGGUGCGAAAGCAGGUCAUAGUGAUCCGGUGGUUCUGAAUGGAAGGGCCAUCGCUCAACGGAUAAAAGGUACUCCGGGGAUAACAGGCUGAUACCGCCCAAGAGUUCAUAUCGACGGCGGUGUUUGGCACCUCGAUGUCGGCUCAUCACAUCCUGGGGCUGAAGUAGGUCCCAAGGGUAUGGCUGUUCGCCAUUUAAAGUGGUACGCGAGCUGGGUUUAGAACGUCGUGAGACAGUUCGGUCCCUAUCUGCCGUGGGCGCUGGAGAACUGAGGGGGGCUGCUCCUAGUACGAGAGGACCGGAGUGGACGCAUCACUGGUGUUCGGGUUGUCAUGCCAAUGGCACUGCCCGGUAGCUAAAUGCGGAAGAGAUAAGUGCUGAAAGCAUCUAAGCACGAAACUUGCCCCGAGAUGAGUUCUCCCUGAGACUUUAGGUCUCCUGAAGGAACGU
RNAcentral lists this ribosomal RNA (583 nucleotides) under Salmonella enterica subsp. enterica serovar Newport. RNAcentral's name for it is "partial 23S ribosomal RNA". It matches the Rfam family "Bacterial large subunit ribosomal RNA", at positions 2261 to 2838 of the family's 2925-position model. The record is from RNAcentral. RNAcentral also lists the same sequence under 2 other names. Lineage: Bacteria; Pseudomonadati; Pseudomonadota; Gammaproteobacteria; Enterobacterales; Enterobacteriaceae.